UAGAAGUAGAUUUUACAGCUU
Caenorhabditis elegans is the source of this 21-nucleotide non-coding RNA. The record is from Ensembl. NCBI's taxonomy places the organism in Eukaryota, Metazoa, Nematoda, Chromadorea, Rhabditida, Rhabditidae.